Molecule: non-coding RNA, 155 nt
Filed under: Parabacteroides distasonis
Lineage: Bacteria; Pseudomonadati; Bacteroidota; Bacteroidia; Bacteroidales; Tannerellaceae
Source: RNAcentral
GGGCAUACGGAUUAAAAGGGAAUCCGGUGAGAAUCCGGUACAGUCCCGCUGCUGUGAAACUCCUUUAACAUUCUAAUACUACUUUCGCCACUGGCCUAGUAAGCCGGGAAGGCAUUAGAAUGGGAGUCAGUCAGAAGACCUGCCAUUCAUUUAAG